Long non-coding RNA from Oncorhynchus nerka (sockeye salmon), 3578 nucleotides. RefSeq lists it as uncharacterized. The record is from RefSeq and is a predicted model, not a curated record. NCBI's taxonomy places the organism in Eukaryota, Metazoa, Chordata, Actinopteri, Salmoniformes, Salmonidae. The transcript is spliced from 2 exons.
AUUGCGGGAACGGCGCGCGAAGUCUUCACUGCAGUUGCGCAAAGGACUUAUCCAGUUUAAACAGCGACUGCCUUUAAGUAAAAACAUUCAGCACCAUGAGUUUGUUGAUCAUAUAUUUUAUCAUUUUUCCUACUGCCACAAAGUAACAAACGGCCAGGUUAAGAUAAGCUGAUCUAACGGUACACUUCUGUAAUGCUUUUAAUACAAAUACAACAUAUUAACAAUUUUACUCACCUCUAUAUUUCCUUCUUUGUACUUGAACUAUAAUAUUCGUGCGGAAUUUCUUACAACUUCUGAAUAGAGAAAAACUUACAGAUGCAUAUGGUACGAUCCUGUUGUGUUCCGCCUAAAGCCGCCCCUCUACAAAAUGUGUGGGUUAAAUUAGUGUUCCGCGUUGCCACUGUCUAAUAACGGAUGUCAAAAAAGAACGAUAGCAAAAAUGUGUUAUGUCAAAAUUAUUUCAUACUCCACAUUUAGGGGGGCCACAAGGGCGUCCAAAAUUGUUGUCACAGGGGCACUGGCCCCCGCCAGAACCGCUAGUGGGACCAGCUCGGCUUGUUACUUUGUAAUAAAGUAUAUUUUUAAUUCACAAGCUCCGGUUUCUAAGAUAUAUUUUUAAUAAUGUGUAUUUCCACAACAAAGAUCACUGACGUCAUGAUUUGACCUGGUAUUUUCCGAGUUCCCAGUUAUCUUGAACGCACCAUAACUGUUACCUACUCAUGUCGCUGACUCAGGCCGUUUUCAAAUGGAUUCGUUAAACCACACUCCGUAAACACAUUGUAACGUAAAACGGUUAGACAUAAGUGGUAGUUACCUAGCAAGUCAGUUAUUUUAAGUAAAUUAAUUAAUAAGCGUGGUCCCCAUUGCUUUUGCUCUUUAGUUUUCUCCAAAAUGAAGAGAAAGAAGGACAUCAUGUCCUUCUUCCAAAGAAAAGACAAGGCAGACAGUGAGACAAAGCCAGAUGGUUCAGCAGUAGAGAGAGCAGAGAGCCUGCAGAGAGAGAGCAGGAAGACUUGUCCAUUGGAUAGCCUGAGAGUGAAGGCAUAGUAGAGCAGGAGAGUGAGAGUGAGACACCAACAGAGGAGCCGCGUGUGUCCACAAGCAGUGGACCGUCAGACAUCACCAAAUCCCGGGAGGAACCACCGGUGCAACCAAUGAUGAACAUAUACCCAAUAACUCUAAUGGGGGACCAGAGGAGGAGCUUCAAGGCGGCCUGGUACCAUAUCCACCCCUGGCUUGAAUAUUUUAAAAAAUCAGACUCUGUGUUUUGUUACGCCUGCAGGCAUUUUAGCCCUCCCAAAGUCUGAGACUGCAUUUGAUUCACAAUUGGGUUUUAACAACUGGAAGAAGGAAACUUACAAAGAGGGGGAUUUGCAAUUCAUGCAAGGUCUGAGCGGCACAAACAAGCAAUGAUUACAUGGAGAGACUAUCAGAAAGCUGUAAAAAGUAAUACAACACUGGUAUAUGCCCUAAACAAGGAACACAACAAACAGGUUCAAGAAAAUCGGGACUAUAUUAAAACAAUAGGAGAAGUACUACUACUUACAGCCGCACAAAACAUUGCACAGAGGACAUGAUGAGUCUGCAGAGUCAGAUAACAAAGGGAACUUCAUGGCAAUCCUAGAAACAAUAGCUAAGCAUGACGCAACUGUGAAAAAAAGGGUGACUUCCAUUCAUAAUGCAAAAUAUACAAGCAAAGGAAUUCAGAAUGAGGUUCUGAGUUGUUUGGCAGAAAUGGUUCGAACAAAAAUUACAGAAGAAGUGAGACAGUGAGGUCUUCAGCAUAAUGGCAGACGAAACAAAAGAUGUAAAAAAUAUAUAUUUAAAAAAAGGAGCAGAUAUGUCUAGUACUCAGGUACUAUUUCAGAGGAGCUGUCCAUGAGAGCUUUCUCCACUUUGAAUCUGCUGAUUGACUAGAUGCAGCAGGGCUUACUGACAGAAUCAUACACAUAUUAGAAAGUCAUGGUCUUGAAUACAAAACCAACCUAGUAGGCCAAGCAUAUGACGGUGCUUCCAUUAUGAGUGGCAAGCAUUCAGGCGUCCAGGCACGCAUUGAAGAACAAGCAAAGCCUUUUACAUCCACUGCAGUGCACACUGUCUAAACUUAGUUUUAGUGGACACAGUCAAAGCUGUCCCUGAGGUCGGACAGUUCUUCUCCUUACUAGAAAGACUUUACGUCUUCACAUCUGGGUCAUAUGUGCAUCAAAAAUGGCUUAGCAUACAAAAAGAGAUGUACCCAGGUGCACCUGGAGAGCUUCAGAGACUAAGUGACACUAGCUGGGCAUGUCGAUAUAUGGCUCUACAUACUAUUAUGGAUAGAUUACCUGCCAUUAAGCGAGUCCUGCAAGAUAUAGUCCAAGAACACAAUGGUGACAGAUCUGUUGAGGCACGAGGUCUGCUUGCACAGAUAGAUUUACAAUUCAUUGUGUGCCGUGUUACACUCCAUAAAGUGUUUGGAGAAGCAGAAUUUCUAUCAGAUAUGCUACAGUCUUCAUCACUUGACCUGUUAAAGGCUGUUGAUUUAGUUGAAGCCUUAGUUCAAACUUUGAAUGACUACAGGGAUGAGUCAUUUUUUGAUGACCUAUGGAAUGAAGUGUUGAACACAGCUGAGCAAUGUGAUACUGCAAUACACCCCCCUGCAAAACGACCAAAAAAGCUAAGCUUCAAUUUAAUGGAGUCUGUGUACUCAGUACAGUGGGUCAGAGGUCAGAUUCAGAACAAGAAAAAGGCAGUUUUGGUACAACCCUGUUUUAGCUCAUAUGCUCAGUGAGCUUAACAGAAGGUUCCCUAUCAAACACUGUGACAUAAUGAAUGGCAUCCAAACUUCUCAAAGACAAGUUCCGGUUUCCAUUUGCUAGAAUGUAUGAAUCAAAUAUUCAUGACUUGGACAUGAACUACAGCAGCUCAGAAGAAUUUUAGAAAGGAAAAUACAGUGGCGUGCAGAGACCCUCCAGUGUAGUACAUUUUUACAUUUACAUUUAAGUCAUUUAGCAGACGCUCUUAUCCAGAGCGACUUACAAAUUGGUGCUUUCACCUUAUGACAUCCAGUGGAACAGCCACUUUACAAUAGUGCAUCUAGGUCUUUUAAGGGGGGGGGGGAGGGGGAGAAGGAUUACUUUAUCCUAUCCUAGGUAUUCCUUAAAGAGGUGGGGUUUCAGGUGUCUCCGGAAGGUGGUGAUUGACUCCGCUGUCCUGGCGUCGUGAGGGAGUUUGUUCCACCAUUGGGGGAAGAGCUGGCAUUAUUCAUUGAGCCUUAUAAAUAACUUUUCUUUGCGCUCUUUAAACUGUGCAAGAUAACUGUUUCAAUCCCUGUUAGUACUGCUUCUUGUGAAAUACAUUUUUUCUGCACUAAAACUGGUGAAAACGUAUCUCAGGUCUACAAUGUCAGAUGACAGAUUAAACAAUUUAGAUGUAUUAAGUAUUGAGUCAAGGAGGGCAAAGGCUUUGAGUCUAGAUUAAUUUGCUGAUCUUUUUGCAAAAAAACACAAAAACCGGAGAAUACAGUUGAUGUGACCUGAUACUGAAUAUGUAAUGCAAAUGAAAAUUAUAAUGGAAAUGCAAAUAAAUUGUUGAAUGAU